AGACCCGGAUUAGCAGCCUCGCUACAGUCGGCAAUGAAGCAUGUCUGAAGGCAUCGAUCGCAAAGUAUUGGAGUACGAAGCUUUUGUCAACGAGAUUUUGAAGCGGGACUUAAAGAAUGUGUACGAUCAGAGGGAUGCUAUUUAUGGUGAGAUAGCAGACUAUUAUCAACUGAGAACAACUCUUGAAAACAUUAAGGGAUGUAGUGAACUGAAGACACAAGUUGAUUUGGGAUGCAACUUUUAUGUACAAGCUAACAUCCCAAGUGCAUCACAUGUAUUUGUUGCUGUGGGAUUUGGAUUUUUUGUUGAAAUGGAUCACAAUGAAGCCCUGAUGUUCAUAGACAAGAAAACUUCCCAUUUGCAAAGGGAUGCGAAGAUUCUAAAAUGGCCACCCAUACAAAAGUAUCCAAACAUGUGCUAUCCAGAUUUCUUCUAAAUCAGUAAAAAAAUCCCAGAGCCAUCUAACACUCGACUGUAAACGGUCUGAAUGGUAGCCAGACUACUAACGCUGACACUAAGCGUCUCAGAAGCCAUAUCGGCAAGUAAAAAACAUGAUUUAUUCUUUCACAUUUUGCUUUUGUCAGCCAGGCUAGCGCCUCACUCAAAGCAGCUACAACGACGGGAGUAAUACCAAACGAUUCGCUCUUGUCUGAGGAAUUGCACUGACCCAACAGCUAGAACUGUGCAAAGUCCACCCAGUAUCAGUCAACUGCUGCUACGCAUUUCUAGGUAGAGCUUCUACAAUGCCAUGAUGUUCCGGUCAUGUUUAUAGUAAUUAGAUACCUAUUGUUAGCUGGUGGAAACUACAGUUUGGGAGAUUGCUACCGCUUCUACAGUGUGCGUACAGUUGCGUGUAGUUGAACACGUAUGACUAUGCUCAAUGGGGUGCUGUUUCUGUGCAUGUGAUCGCAUGUAGGCUUCCGUGCAAGAUGUGUGGGAGUUGUUUAUUGAUGCAAUCAAUGUUAAGACGUACAUCCGUCAGCUGCUAGUAGCGUACUGGUACAGUACAUCAGUCAAAGUAUCGAAUCCCAAGCUGCACACGUCAUUUCCAAACCAUGCACACACAUGUACUCACAGCUAGUAGCAACACGGAUUGGAGUGAGACAAAAACCACUUCAUCUACGUAACUAACUAAAAAAUGAAUGAAACAAGUAUAAAAACAUUUUGAGAAAAUGAUGGAUAUGUAGGGAUGGGUAUGUACUUAUUCAUGCUCAUCUCCUACAUCACUAUCUUUUCUACCUAAGUAAAUUGCUUGCGGCAGUUUCAAUCUAAAACCCAGCAGUCAUGUUUGAUACUCAGUAGGAGAUGAGCACGAAUAAGUACAUACUCAUCCCUACAUACCCAUCAUUUUCUCAAAAUAUUUUAUACUUGUUCCAUGUCUAUUGUUUUCUGUAUUGUAUUUACUGUCAUACUUCAUACUUUCUGCAAGCAUGUGAAACGUAUUCAAUGUCUUAGGUACAGAAUCUGAAAAUUUCAUGCAACUAUUAUUAUAUUCUUUGUGUAGAUUGUGACUGUUCCAAAGUACUUUCAUUUUAUUUUUGAAAAAUAGAUUAGUCUUUCAUAUAAUGAUUAAUGACAUAGUAGUAAUAUGGUAUAUCAUUACUAUAACUGAACAUUUCUGUUUCGUUGACUCAAACAUGAAUAAGAAACACCAAGAGAAGAUGCAGAAAUAUGAGGCACUUGUAAUUAAGCUCAAAAGAUUAUACAUUGGGUGGACGAUAAAGUUUUGUCCUUUAAUUCAUGGUGCUCUGGACGCAAUGAGGUGACAAACCAUCAAUGAUGUUGUACGAUCUGUUUCUGGAUGUUAGGACCAGUCAACUGUUUUACUAAAGGAAAUGCAGAAGGCCACCCUACUUAGCACUAUACAUCUGCAAGACUGUUUCUUUACAGUGAAUAAAGGAAAGAUGUUGUCAUCGGUGGUAUAGUGUUGGAUUUUGUUGGAUUUAACUACUUGCUGCUGAAGAUCUUUAUGGGCAACUGAUAGAACAUAAUGACACUAGUAGCUCUUUUAGAGAUGGUUGCUAGCUGAAUGGUUUCAUUUAAAUAAACUGUUAGUUGUUCAGAGUUUUGUUUGGUUUCACUUUCUAUGUAAUGGCUUAGUGGUUAGUGACAAUAGUUUUGAGUGUACAAGCCCCAGUGGCAACAGUAAAUUAUGAAAUUUGCCUGUCUUUCUCAUGUUGCUCUAGCUUUGUCCAUGAGACUAUGACUCAUUUCAGUCAUUGGGGAGUUUCUGUAGUCUGGCAAACGGUAUAUUGAUGACGAUGUUCAGUGCUUUCCUGGUGGUCAUUGAUAUCCACUAGGCAUGCUGUCUGAGUUUGCGGUCACCGUAAUGCCUGUAAUCUAUAUCAAAAUGGUUAGUCAUUGAUCGCCAUGUGGACUACACAGAAACAUGUACCCUACUGGGUUCACCUGCCAGGUUGGUGGACGCCCAGAUGGGGUAAAGACCCCACUUGCCCACCAUGGAGGGGCAUAACGACACAGAAUAGCAAUAAUAAUAAAGACCACUAUAGCCUAGUGGUUGGAGUUCUGGUUCUCUAAUCAUGAUGGCCUAGAUUUAAUCUCGGGUGGAGACAGCAAUGUAAUGAAAUGGGUCUGUUGGUUUUUUCUCACUGUUUAUGUGGCUAUGUUUGCGAGAGUAUACUUGUUUCUGUCAAUGGGGUGUUUCUGUGAUUGGCGUGGGGACCGUUGGUAAUGAGGAUCAGUGCUUUCCUGGUGUUCAUUUGAUAUAUCUAUUGGGCAUACUGUUCAGAGCUGGUGAAAUCCCUGUAACACAUGCAAUCAAUAGUCGAUAUGCCAGUUUCUAGUGCCAUAUGGAUUAUACAGAAACAUGCACUUUUCUGGGACUUUCUUGCCAGGUUGGUGGGCACCCAGUUGAGGGUAAAGACCCCACUUGCCCUACAGAGAGGGUGAUGAUGACACAUUGAGAGCAGAUGGUACCGAUAUAAUCUUAGUAUGCUUGUGGAGACAGACGACAUCACUAUGACGUGGCAUACAGCCAUCUCUACUGCUAAGAACGUUGGUGCCAAUCGUCUUAACAUUUGCUUCAGAAACAAGAAGACAAACUCUUGUCUUCUUAUUGACUUGUGGGUGGAGGUAAGCUGCAUUUUGCAGUGUCGGACACUGGUUGUUCCAGUGGCAUUGGGAGCAUUGGGCAUAGUGCAUGCCAAUAUUGCACAAUGACUGGACAUCAUUCCAGGCCAUCACAACCUGUAGCACUUACAGAAAACAGUACUUCUUGGAUCCAGUUGGAUUCUGCGUAUGCAAAUGGUACAGGAGUGUGAUGCUAGGAGGUCCUCUCAUUCGAUCUGAAGCACGGUCCUCAGUUUACUGCACAGUUCCAGAGGAAUCUGUCUACUGUAAACCAAGAAAUUUUCAGUGGCAUAAAAAUUUUGGUACCUCCUGAAAAUUCUGUUUCAGUAGCAAUCUAUUUUCGGUGAAACUCCUCGGAAACUUGAGACUCCAAUCUGGAUGCACUGUACACUAGAACUACAUUUACGCAGUUGUGCAACACAAUAGGGGGUGUUAGAUAGGCAGUGUGACAUUGGUUGUCCAGUGGUGUUGGAGCAUUGGGCAUAGUGCACAGUAUUCAUUCCAUGUGGCUGGACAUGAUGCGAGGUUAUCGCAACCUGCAACAUGUACAGAAACAGUGCUUUUUGGAUCCAGUCGGAUCCUUCAUAAAGUCAUGUCUUUUGCCUAGACAGCCAUGAUGGUCUAAGCAUCUUUGAGGCAGGAUUUGCUUCCGGUGCUUACAAGAGACCUUAUGAACCAGACUGAUUUUAGUAAUAACUAUAGCCUAGUGGGUAGAGUUUCGGUGCCAUGAUGGCUUGGGUUCAAUCUCAGAUUGCGACAGCGAUAUAAUGAAAUGAGUCUGUUGGUUUUCUCACUGUUUAUCUGGCUAUGUUUGUGAGAGUAGACUUAUUUCUGUCAAUGGGGUGUUUCUGUGAUCUGGCAUGGGAACCGUUGGCAAUGAGGAUCAGUGCUUUCCUGGUGGUCACUGAUAUCUGCUGAGUGUCAUGUGCUGUUCAGAGCUGACAAAAUUCCCGUAAUGCACGCAAUCAAUUAUCGAUAUGCCAGUUACUAGCUAUCAUGCCAAUGGACACAGAAACAUUGUAUCUUGCCUGCUGGGUUGGUGGGCACUCAGUUUAGCCUCGUACUCGGUUGAGGGUAAAGACCCCACUCGCUUUACUGCGUGAGAGAGUGAUGGUGACAUAAUAAUAAACAGACCUUAUGAACCAAAUUGAUCUGGUUGAACACAUCAUAUUAAUUUGUAAUUGGUAUUGUUGUAAUGUGUGAUAAAACGAGGAAACUACCUGCCUAUUUGCUACUGCUUUGAGUAUGUGUCAAACAUGGCAGCUACCUGUUUGAGAAGACAGAAAUGUACAACUUUUACACAGGAGCAAUUUGAAUUUAACAGUUAUUUAUCAAUUAAUCUCUACGUGUUAAUGCUGUAAUGACGAACAGGUAAUGACUUGAGAUACAUAAAGUAUACACUGUAUGUAAUAAUAAUAGUUACUAAUACUGUAGUUUUGUAUCCCCAUAUAUAGGACACACUUCAAUCUUUUCAAUGACUUGACUUUGUCAUUGUAAUACUUUUGACUUCAGUGCAGCAGCAUCAUCUGUUUCUGUAUUUAUUACACAUUUUGAAAUUUGUGCAAAUUGGAAAUAAGAAAAUAGCUGUUGGACAUAAGUACUGUGGUAUGUGGAUUAAUAUUGUUUAUUUUACGACAGCUCAAAUUCUUACAGAACAUAGUCUACAUGACUUUUGUAGGAGGAUGGUGUCUGAUGAGGCUGUGCAGUCUUUUGCCAAAUUUAUAAUAACUGUUUUUGUGGCACCUUGUGGCAGUAGGUUAUCUUGGUAAAUGUUGAUGUUGACAGUCAUGUGAUGGUGAUAUUGCUACCAAUUGUGUUAAUUUUGCUGUGAGGACCACGUGAUCACUUGAUUACUUUGUAUAUAGGCAAUCUGAUACAUUGACAGAACGUGCAGCUGAAAUCAAAGGUCGAAUCAAGUUGGUGUUAGAGGGUCUUCGUGAGCUGCAGUCUAGCCCCUUUCCACAAUCAGAUGAAAGAAAUGUUGUAUUUUGAGUACUGUGAGAUAUAGCUU
Molecule: RNA transcript, 5101 nt
Organism: Corticium candelabrum
Lineage: Eukaryota; Metazoa; Porifera; Homoscleromorpha; Homosclerophorida; Plakinidae
Gene name: protein UXT-like
Exons: 6
Source: RefSeq, a predicted model, not a curated record